RNAcentral lists this transfer RNA (96 nucleotides) under Trametes coccinea BRFM310. RNAcentral's name for it is "Trametes coccinea (strain BRFM310) tRNA". It matches the Rfam family "tRNA". From Rfam's summary of the family: Transfer RNA (tRNA) molecules are approximately 80 nucleotides in length. Their secondary structure includes four short double-helical elements and three loops (D, anti-codon, and T loops). Lineage: Eukaryota; Fungi; Basidiomycota; Agaricomycetes; Polyporales; Polyporaceae. The record is from Rfam by way of RNAcentral.
GACACUAUAGCCAAGUGGUUAAGGCGACAGAUUAGAAUCGCUUUGCGGAUUAUCUGUUUCCCUCUGGGAGCGUAGGUUCGAACCCUACUGGUGUCG